Molecule: ribosomal RNA, 440 nt
Filed under: uncultured bacterium
Lineage: Bacteria
Description: partial 16S ribosomal RNA
Rfam family: Bacterial small subunit ribosomal RNA
Source: RNAcentral
CCUACGGGAGGCAGCAGUGGGGAAUAUUGGGCAAUGGGGGAAACCCUGAUGCAGCGACGCCGCGUGAGUGAAGAAGCGCCUCGGCGCGUAAAGCUCUGUCAGCAGGAACGACGAUGACGGUACCUGAAGAAUACUCCACGGCUAACUACGUGCCAGCAGCCGCGGUAAUACGUAGGGGGAAAGCGUUAUCCGGAUUUACUGGGUGUAAAGGGAGCGUAGACGGCGGGGCAAGUCUGGAGUGAAAGGCCGGGGCCCAACCCCGGGACCGCUUUGGAUACUGGCCGGCUGGCGUGCGGGAGAGGUAAGCGGAAUUCCUAGUGUAGCGGUGAAAUGCGUAGAUAUUAGGAGGAACACCAGCGGCGAAGGCGGCUUACUGGACCGUGACUGACGUUGAGGCUCGAAAGCGUGGGGAGCAAACAGGAUUAGAUACCCGAGUAGUC